RNAcentral lists this ribosomal RNA (124 nucleotides) under uncultured bacterium. RNAcentral describes it as "partial 16S ribosomal RNA". The record is from RNAcentral.
GCCGGAGCUUCUUCUGCGGGUACCGUCAUUAUCUUCCCCGCUGAAAGGGGUUUACAACCCUAAGGCCUUCUUCACCCACGCGGCAUGGCUGGAUCAGGCUUUCGCCCAUUGUCCAAUAUUCCCC